Molecule: transfer RNA, 92 nt
Filed under: Acinetobacter sp.
Lineage: Bacteria; Pseudomonadati; Pseudomonadota; Gammaproteobacteria; Moraxellales; Moraxellaceae
Description: tRNA-Ser
Rfam family: tRNA
About the family: Transfer RNA (tRNA) molecules are approximately 80 nucleotides in length. Their secondary structure includes four short double-helical elements and three loops (D, anti-codon, and T loops).
Source: RNAcentral
GGUGAGAUGGGUGAGUGGCUGAAACCACCUCCCUGCUAAGGAGGCAUAUCCAAUUACGGGUAUCGAGGGUUCGAAUCCCUCUCUCACCGCCA